CNACCUGCCGUCUACUCUUGGACAACCUUCUGAAAGGAAGAUUAAUACAAGAUGGCAUCAUGAGUCCGCAUGUUCACAUGAUUAAAGGUAUUCCGGUAGACGAUGGGGAUGCGUUCCAUUAGAUAGUAGGCGGGGUAACGGCCCACCUAGUCUUCGAUGGAUAGGGGUUCUGAGAGGAAGGUCCCCCACAUUGGAACUGAGACACGGUCCAAACUCCUACGGGAGGCAGCAGUGAGGAAUAUUGGUCAAUGGGCGAGAGCCUGAACCAGCCAAGUAGCGUGAAGGAUGACUGCCUUAUGGGUUGUAAACUUCUUUUAUAAAGGAAUAAAGUCGGGUAUGGAUACCCGUUUGCAUGUACUUUAUGAAUAAGGAUCGGCUAACUCCGUGCCAGCAGCCGCGGUAAUACGGAGGAUUCGAGCGUUAUCCGGAUUUAUUGGGUUUAAAGGGAGCGUAGAUGGAUGUUUAAGUCNGUUGUGAAAGUUUGCGGCUCAACCGUAAAAUUGCAGUUGAUACUGGAUAUCUUGAGUGUAGUUGAGGCAGGCGGAAUUCGUGGUGUAGCGGUGAAAUGCUUAGAUAUCNCGAAGAACUCCNAUUG
This 595-nucleotide ribosomal RNA is filed under the name uncultured Bacteroidota bacterium. RNAcentral describes it as "bacterial SSU rRNA". It matches the Rfam family "Bacterial small subunit ribosomal RNA", at positions 122 to 715 of the family's 1533-position model. Lineage: Bacteria; Pseudomonadati; Bacteroidota. The record is from RNAcentral.